Non-coding RNA from Paragonimus heterotremus, 115 nucleotides. Lineage: Eukaryota; Metazoa; Platyhelminthes; Trematoda; Plagiorchiida; Troglotrematidae. The record is from the annotation of a GenBank genome assembly.
AUCGCCACACUACUGUGGAGCACCAGUUUUCGUCCGAUGAUUGAAAUUAAGCAAUGUUGGGUCCGGUUAGUACUUGCUGUCAGUAGCGUUUCACAAAUAUCAAUCUUCAGACCCU